CCUAAACCCUGACCAUAAACCCUGACCCUGACACUAAAAACUGACCCUGACCCUAAACUCGAACACUAAACCCUAAAACCUAACCUUAACCCCUAAACCCGAUCCCGAACCAUAACCCUAACACUAAACUAAACCCUAAACCCUAACCUGUGUAGGGAGUGAGGAGGUGGGAGGGACUAGGCUGGGCGCUGUGAAGGGACUCAGGAGGUGGGAGAGACCAUGCAGGGCCCUGUAUAGAGAGUGAGAGACCAGGCAGGGCACUGUACAGGGAGUAAGAUGGUGGGACAAAAGAGACAGAAACCUGUGUAGGGAGUGAAGAGCUGAGAGACCAGACAGAGACCUUUGUAGGGAGUGAGGAGGUGGGUGAGACCAGGCAGGGCCCUGAGUAGGGAGAGAGGAGAUGGAAGAGACCAGGCAGGGACAGGUGUAGGAAGUGAGGAGGUGGGAGGGACCAGGAAGGGCCCUGUGUAAGGAGUGAGGAUGUGGAAGAGAACAGGCAGAGAACUGUGUAGGGAGUAAGGAGGUGGGACAGACCAGGCAGAGACCUUUACAGGGAUGGAGGAGGUGGGAGAGAAAAGGCGGGGCCCUGAGUAGGGAGUGAGGAGCUGGGAGCAACCAGGCACGGCCAUGUCUAGGGAGUGAGGAGGUGGGAGAGGUCAGGCAGGGACCUGUGUAGGGAGUUAGGCCUUAGGAGAGACCAGGCAGAGACCUGCAUAGGGAGUGAGGAGGUGAGAGAGACCAGGUAGGAUGCUGUGUAAAGAGUGAGGAUGUAGGAGAGACCAGGCAGGGCCCUGUGUAGGGAGUGAAGAGGUGGGAGAACCAUUCAGAGACCUGCAUAGGGAGUGAGGAGAUGGGAGAGACCAGGAAGGGCCCUCCGUAGGGAGUGAGUUGGCCAGAGAUCAGGCAUGUCCCUGUAUGGAGUAAGGAUAUGGGAGAGACCAGGCAGGGCCCUGUGCAGGGAGUUAGGAGGUGGGAGAGAAGAGGCAGAGAAGAGUGUAGGGAGUGAGGAGGUGGGACAGACCAGGCAGGGCUCUGUGCAUAGAGAAGAUGGGAGACACCAGACAGGGCCCUGUGUAGGGAGUGAAGAAGAGGGAGACCCAGGUAGAGUCCUGCUUAGGGAGUGAGGAGAUGGGAGAGACCAGGCAGAGCCAAGUAUAGGGAGUGAGGAGAUGGGAGAGACCAGGCAGGCCCUGUGUAAGGAGUGAUGAGGUGGGAGAGACCAAGCAGGACCCUGUGCAGGGUGUGAGGGGGAGGGAGCAUCCAGGCAGGGCCCUGUGGAGGGAGUGAGGUGUUGGGAGAGACCACACAGGUCCUGUGUAGGGAGCGAGAAUGUGCCAGAGAUCAGGCAGGGCCCUGUGUAGAGAGUGAGGAAGUGGGAGAGAACAGACAGAGACAUAUGUAGGGAGUAAGCAGAAGGGAGACACCAGGCAGGGCCCUCUGUAGGGAGUGAGGAGGAGGGACAUACCAGGCAGGGCCCUGUGUAAGGAGUGAGGAGGUGGGAGAAUCCAGGCAGACACCUGUGUAGGGAGUGAGGAGCUGGAAGAGACCAGGCAGGGACCUGUGUAGGUCCUGAGGAGGUGGGAGAGGCCAGGCAGCGUCCUGUGUAGGGAGUGAGAAGGUGGGAGAGACCAGGCAGGGCCCUAUGUUGGGAGUGAGGAUGCAGGAGAGAAGAGGCAGAGAUGUGGGAGAGACCAGGCAAAGACCUGUGAAGGGACUGAGGAGGUGGGAGAGACCUGGCAGGGCCCAGUGUAGGGAGUGAGUAUCUUGGAGAGAAGAGGCAGAGACCUGUGUAGGGAUUGAGAAGAAGGAGAGACCAGGCCGGGCCCUGUGGAGGGAGUGAGGAGGUGGGAGAGGCCAGGCAGAGCCCUGUGUAGCGAGUGAGGUGUUAGGAGAGACCAGGCAGGGCCCUGUGUAGGGAGUGAUGAGGUGAGAGAGACCAGGUAGGACCCUGUGUACAGAGUGAGGAUGUGGAAGAGAACAGGCAAGGCUGUGUGUAGGAAGUAAGGUGGUGGAGAUACCAGUCAGGGACCUGUGUAGGGAUUGAGGAAGUGGGAGAGACCAGGCAGGACCCUGUGUAGGGAGUGAGGAGGUGGGAGAGACCAUCAGGGCCCUGUGUAGGGAGUGAGGAGGUGAUAGAGAACAGGUAAGGCCCUGCAUACACAGUGAGGAGUUGGGAGAGACCACCCAGAUACCUGAGUAGGGAGUCAGGAUGUGGGAGAGAUCAGGCAGAGCCCUGUGUAGGAAGUGAGGUGUUAGGAGAGACCAGGCAGGGCCCUGUGUAGGGAGUGAGGAGGUGGGAGAGACCAGGCAGUGGCUUGUUUAGGGAGUGAGCAGGUGCGAGAGAACAUCAGGGCCCUGUGUAGGGAGUGAGGAGGAGGGAGAAAACAGGCUAACACCUGUGUAUGUAGUAAGGAGGUGGGAAAGACCACCCAGAGACCUGUGUAGGGAUUGAGGAAUGGGAGGGAACAGGCAGAGAACUGUGUAGGGAGUGAGGAGGUAGGAGAGACCAGGCAAGGCCCUGUGUAGGGAGCGAAGAGGUGGAGAACCAGGCAGAGUCCUGCAUAGGGAGUGAGAAGGCGAGAGAGGACAGGCAGAGCCCUGCGUAGGGAGUGAGGAGGUGGGAUUGACUAGGCAGGACCCUGGGUAGGGUGUGAGGAGGUGGGAGAUUCCAGGCAGGGCCCUUUGUAGGGAGUGAGGUGUUGGGAGAGACCAGGCAGAGUCCUGUGUAGGGAGUGAGGAUUUGGGAGAGACCAGGCAGGGCCCUGUGUAUGGCCUGAGGAGGUUAGAAAUACCAGGCAGGGCCCUGAGUAGGGAGUGAGGAAGUGGGAGAGAAGAGGCAGGGCCCUGUCUAGGGAUUGAAGAGGUGGGAGAGAACAGGCAGAGACCCUUGUAGGGAAUGGGGAGGUGGGAGAACCAUGCCGAGACCUGUGUAGGGAUGGAGAAGGUGGGAGGGACCAGUUAGGGCCCUGUGUGUGCAGUCAGGAUGUGAGAGAGAGGAGGCAGGGCCCUGUGUGAAUUGAGGAUGGGGGAGAGGCCAGGCGGGGCCCUGUUUAGGGAGUGAGGAGGUGGGAGAGAUCAUCAGGGCCCUGUAAAGGGAGUGAGGAGGUGAGAGAGGCCAGUCAGGGACCUGUGUAGGGAGUUAGGCGUUAGGAGAGACCAGGCAGGGCCCUGUGUAGGGAGUGAGGAGGUGGGAGAGACCAGGCAGAGACCUGCAUAGGGAGUGAGGAGGUGAGAGAGACCAGGUAGGAUGCUGUAUAAAGAGUGAGGAUGUAGGAGAGACUAGCCAGAGCCCUGUGUAGGGAGUAAGGAGGUGGAGAGACCAGGCAGGGUCCUGUUUAGGGAGUGAGGAGGUGGGAGAGAUCAUCAGGGCCCUGUAAAGGGAGUGAGGAGGUGGGAGAGACCACCCAGAUACCUGUGUAGGGACUGAGGAGGUGGGAGAGAAAAGACAGAGCCCUGUGUAGGGAGUGAGGAGGUGGGAGAUACCAGGCAGGGCCCUGUGUAGGGAGUGAGGAGGUGGCAGGGAGCAGUCAGAGACCUGUGUAGGGAGUGAGGAGGUGGCAGAGACCAGGCAGGGCCCUGUCUAGGGAGUGAGGAGUUGGAAGAGACCAGGCAGAGACCUGUGUACUGAGUCAGGAGGUGGGAAAGAACAGGCAGGACUGUGUUUAGCAAGUGAGGGGGUGAGAGAGAAUAGGCAGAAACUUGUGUAGGGAGUGAGAAGAUGGAAGACAGCAGGCAGGGCCCUGUGUAGGGAGUGAAGAGGUGGGAGAAACAUUCAGAGACCUGAAUAGGGAGUGAGGAGUUCAGGCAAGUCCCUUUGUAUGGAGUAAGGAUGUGGGAGAGACCAGGCAGGGCCCUGUGCAGGGAGUGAGGAGGUAGGAGAGAUCAGGCAGGGACUGGUGUAGGGAGUGAGGAGGUGGGAGAGACCAGGCAGGGCUCCGUGUAGGAAGUGAGGAAGUGGGAAAGAACAGGCAGAAAGCUGUGUAUGGAGUGAGAAGAUGGGAGACACUAGCCAGGGCCCUGUGUAGGGAGUGAAGAGGUGGGAGAACAAGGCAGGGUCCUGCAUAGAGAGUGAGGAGGUGGGAGAGGACAGGCAGAGCCCUGCUUAGGGAGUGAGGAUGUGGGAGAGACAAAGCAGGGCUCUUUGUAAGGAGUGAUGAGGUGGGAGAGACUAGGCAGGACCCUGCUAGGGGUUAUUGAUAUUGUAAGGGUUAGGUUUAGGGUUAGGGUAGGGGUAAGUUAGGGUUAAGGCUAGCUUUACUGUAAAGGGUGGGGCCAGGUUAGGGUUAGGGUUAGGUUUAGAGUUCGAGUUAGAUCUAGGGUUUAGGGUUAGGGUUAGGGUCCAGUUUAGAGUUAUUGUUAGGUUUAGGGUUAGGGUUAGGGUAGAGUUAAGGUUAGGGUUAAGUUUAGGGUUAGGGUAAGGAUUAAGUUUAGGUCAGGGUUAGGGUUAGGAUGAGUGAUAGGGUUAGGGAAAGGGUUAGGGGUUCGUGUGACGGUUAGUGUUACAUUUACAGUUAAGCUGAUGUUUUAGGGUGUUACUGCCAGGGUUAGGGUUAGAGUUAGGGUUAGGGUUAGGGCGAGAAUUAGAGGAUAGUUUAGGGUUAGGUGUAAUUUUAGGGUUAGGGUUAGGCUUAGGUUUAGGGUGAAGUUUAGGUUAAGGAUGAGGGUUAGGAUUAGGCUUUGGUGUUUAGGUUAAGGUUAGCGUUACAUUUAGGGUUAGGCUUAGUGUUAGGUUUUGCGUUAAGUGUUUGGGUUAAUGUUAGGGUCAGGUUUAAGGUUAGGUUUAGGGUUAGGGUUAGUGUUUGGUUUAGGGUUAGGGUUAGGGUGAAGUUUAAGUUAAGGGUGAGUGUUGAGCUUAGGGUUAGUGUUGGGGUUAGGGUUAGGGUUAAGGUUAGAAUUAAGUUUAGGGUUAAGGUCAGGUUUAGAGUUAGGGUAAGUGUUAGGGUUAAGUCAUAGUUAGGUUUAGGACUAGUUUUUAGUUAGAGAUAGGGUUGGGUUCAGGGUUGGGCUUAGGUUUAGAUGUUAGGGUGAGGGAUAGUGCUAGGUUUCCAUUCAAACUGAGUGUGUAGGGUAAGUUUUAGGGUUAAAGUUAGAGUUAGAGUCAGGGUUAGGUUUAAGUUUAGUGUUGGGAUUAUGUUUAUGGUUAGGGUCAGGGUUGGGGAGAUUUAGUGUUUAGGGUUACAGUGAAUUUAUGUUCUGCGAGAGGGUUAGGGUUAGGGCUUUGGGUUCGGGUUAGGGGUUUGGGUUAGAGUCAGGGUUAGGGUUAGGUUUAGGGUUAGGGUUAGGUUUAGUGUUAGUGUUAGUUUUGCUUAGGGUUAGGGUUUGAAUGAAGUUAGGGUAGGCUUAGCGUUAUGCUUAGGGUGAAAUUUUGGUUAAGGGUGAGGGUUCGGCUUAGGCUUAGGGUUAGAGUUAGGGUCAGUGGUUAGGGUUAGGUUUAGGGUUAAGGUUAGGUUUAGGCUAAGGAUUAGGGUUAGAGUUACGGUUAAGGGUUAACAUUUCAGUUAGGUUUAGGUUAGGGUUAUAAUUAGGGUUAAGUUUAGGGUUAGGGUAAGAGUGAGAGUUACAUUUACAGUUAAGAUGAGGGUUUUGGGUAAGUGUUACAGUUAAGAUUAGGGUUAGGGCUAGGGUUAGGGUUAGAGUUAGGUUUAAGAUUAUGGUAGGCUUAAAGAUAGGGUUAAGGUUAGGUUAGGGUUAGGGUCAGGGUUAGGAUUAGAAUUAGGUUUAGGGUGAGGAUUAGGGUCAGAGUUAUUGUAAGGGUUAGGUUUCGGGUUACAGGUGGGCCAAGGUUAAGGUGAGGGUUAGGUUUAGGGGUAGGGUUAGGGUUAAAGUUAGAGCGAGUUUUAGGUUAGGAAUAGGGUGAAGUUUAAGACAGGGUGAGGGUUAGGGUUAUGGCUAAGGUUUGGGCUUGUUUUCAGGUUAGUGUUAAGGUUAUGUUCAGGGUUAGGGUUAAGUUCAUGGGUUGUGUUUAGUUUUAGGGUUAGGGUUAGAUUUAAGGUUAGGGUUAAGUUUAGUGUUACGGUUAGGGUAAGGGUUACGGUUGUGUUAGGCGUUGUGGUUGGGGUGAGGGUUAGGUUUAGGGUUAGGGUUGGGUAGGGUUUGGAUUAUGGUUAUGGUAAGGUGUUAGAGUUAGAGGUGUAGUUUAGGAUUAGGUUUUGGGUGAGGGUUCCGGUUAGACCUUGUGGUUCUGGUCAUGGUUAGGUUUGGUUUAGGGUUAGGGUUAGGUUCAUGAUUAGGUUUCGGGUUAGUGUUAGAGUUAGGGUGAGAGUUAGGGUUAAGGUUUUUGCUAGGCUUUCGCUUUGGUGUUAGGGUUUGGGUUAGGGUUAGGGUUAUCAUUAGGGCUCAGGGGUUUCAGGUUAGUGUUAGGGUUAGGGUUAGGGAUAGCAUUAGGGUUAGCGUUGUGGGAUACGGUUAGGGGUUAGGGUGAGGGUUACGGUUAGUUUUACAGUUAAGGUGAGGGUUUAGGGUAAGUGUUAUGAUUAGGGUUAGAGUUAGAGUUAGGGUUAGGUUUAGGGUUAGGGUUAGGUGUAGGGUAAGAUUUAGGUUUAGGUCCAAGUUGAGGGUUAGACUUAGUGUUCUAUUUAGGGUCAAGGUUAGAGUUAGGGUUAGGGUUAGGAUUAGGUCUAGGUUUAGGAUUAGGAUUAAGUUUAGGGUUAGGUUCAGGGCUAUUGUAAGUGUUUGGUUUAGGGUUACAGAUGGACUAGCGUUAUUCUUAGAGUUAGGUUUAAGGUUAGGGUUUGGGUUAGGUCUAGGUUUAGGGUUAAGGUUAUGGUUAGUGUUUGGAUGAAGUUCAGGAUAGGGUGAGGGUUAUUUUUAUGGUGAGGGCUAGGGUUUGGGUUUGUGUUCAGGUUAGUGUUAAGGAUAGGUUUAGGGUUCGGUUAGGGUUAGGCGUUAUGUCUAGGGUCAGCGUUAGGUUAGGUUUAGGGUUAGUGUCAAGUUUAGGUUAAGGGUGAGGGUUAUGAUAAGGGUUAGGAUUAUAGACGGUGUUAGACGUUAGGUUUAGGGUGUUAGGGUUAGGUUUAUGGUUAGGGUAGAUUUAAGUUUAGGUUUAAUAUUAGGGUUAGGGUUAGAUUUGGGUUACUGUUCGUAUUAGGGUUAGGGUUAGGGAUAAGUUUGGGGCUAGCGUUAGGUUUAGGGUUGGGGAUACGGUUAAGGAUUAGGGUGAGGGUUAGGGUUAGGUUUACAGUUAAGGCGAGGGUUUAGGGUAAUUGUUAUGGUUAGGGUUAGAGUUAGAGUUAGGCUUAGGGUUAGGGUGAAGUUUCAGUUAGUAGUCAGGGUUAGGCUUAAGGUUAGAGUAGGGUUAAGGUUAGUGUUUGGGUUAGGUAUAGCGUUAGGGUAUGGGUAGGGGUAAGGUUAGGGUUAAGGCUAGGUUUACGGUAAAGGGUAGGGCUAGCUUAGGGUUAGAUUUAGAGUUAGAGUUAGUGCUAGGGUUUAGGAUUAUGGUUAUGGUCAGGUUUAGAGUUAUUGUUAGGGUUAGGGUAGAGUUAA
Molecule: long non-coding RNA, 7482 nt
Organism: Loxodonta africana (African savanna elephant)
Lineage: Eukaryota; Metazoa; Chordata; Mammalia; Proboscidea; Elephantidae
Exons: 2
Source: RefSeq, a predicted model, not a curated record